RNAcentral lists this long non-coding RNA (739 nucleotides) under Amborella trichopoda. RNAcentral's name for it is "long non-coding RNA (ATRI_LNC003943)". The record is from RNAcentral. Lineage: Eukaryota; Viridiplantae; Streptophyta; Magnoliopsida; Amborellales; Amborellaceae.
GGGGGGGGGUUAAUAAGUCCAUUCUUGAGGUAGGCUGAAUUCAGGGUUAGUUGGGGUGGGUUGAGAUCUGAUGGCUCGCUGCUGCUUAGUAUUCGCAACGACAGAGCUCCUGCUCUGUUGAUAUCGCGGAUCGACGGUUCGAUAAGCAUCUGCAAAUACAAGUUUGGAAAAAAUUAAAAUCACAGGCAUUCUAGAAUGAGUGAGAAAGAAUGGCACAUCAAAAGGAAGAGAGAGAAAUAUAUGGAACGGAUUGCGAUGGAAAGAAGACAAGGUCCCAUGAAUGAAGGAACCCGUGCCACAAGAGAGAGAAAAGGCACAGAGAGAUGAACCGAGUGAGCCGAAGAGGGAGAAGGAGACAAACGUCCAGAAGAGUUGAAGACUGAUACAACAAAAGGAUAGAUAGAACAAAGCAGCAAAAGCACAAAAGGGUAGAGAUAUAGCCAAAUUGUGACAAGUAAAAUGAACCACAAAAGUAGAAAGAGAGUGCGCUACCACUCUGGAAACAUGGUUGAGAAGGACCCAUGUCAUCAAGGUUGAGAUUCAGAGCCUGCACAACUCUGGCAGGAAGGAGAACAGUCGAACACGCUGCACAAAAACCAUUAAACAAACAGAGUUCAAAUUGUUGAAGGAAACUGACAACCAAAGCCAGAAACCACUCUCUCCAAAACCCCCCCUUCAUGUACAAACCAGAUAAAGAAUCGACUGAAACUAAAGGAGAACCACUGAGAAAACACACCAG